UGUUAGCAAGUGCAAAAUUAGAUACGAGGUCAUCAGCUAUUAUAAAAAGAAGAUUUUCUUUUUACAUAGAUGCCCAGUGGUUGAAUUACAAAAAUAGGUGGAUUAAACCUGAGAGUAUUAAAGGUUCUGAGAGGUGCUCGACAAACCGUAAACAAGGGCAUGAGACUGCGUCUGGCACACAUAGUAGUGGAUGUAUAUCAUUUGCGGAGACAACAACAAAAAUGGACAAAGAGAAUAAUGGAAAACUUCAUCUAUUUAUGUAUUUCAUUCAAAAGACCCACAAGCUAAGGAACGGUGAUUCACAAGGGUUGUUGUGUUCACAGCAUGCUCAACAAAUUGUAGUAAGUUCUUUUCACAUAUUUGGCUUGAUUUCUGGAAAUGACUUGAUUUCUGAAAUUUUAUUUGGAAUUGUAGUCUGUGAUCAUCAUAAAUUUGUUCUGUCUUAUGCUGUAUUUGUAAAACUGAGCAUUGCUUAUAGUAAUGCUUUUAAGAGUUUUUUUAUGAAAAGUUAAACUAAUUGUGUUGUAUGAGAA
Long non-coding RNA from Salvia splendens (bonfire salvia), 533 nucleotides. RefSeq lists it as uncharacterized. The transcript is spliced from 2 exons. The record is from RefSeq and is a predicted model, not a curated record. Lineage: Eukaryota; Viridiplantae; Streptophyta; Magnoliopsida; Lamiales; Lamiaceae.